This 458-nucleotide long non-coding RNA is filed under the name Serinus canaria (Common canary). Its description in RNAcentral is "lncRNA (ENSSCAG00000009408.1)". The record is from RNAcentral. Lineage: Eukaryota; Metazoa; Chordata; Aves; Passeriformes; Fringillidae.
AUAACAGGAUGUUUUUUGUCUGUUGUAGACUUUCUUACAGAUCUGGGUACUUCACCUCUGCUCUUCUGUUCCCUAGCAGUGAACUAGAGUGAUUGGAGAACCUUCUGCAUGCCUUGAAGUUUCAUGAACAGCUUGUGAAAUGCUCCAAAACCUUUAGCUGCAUAAGAAAGAAGUGUUGAGAGCUGCUCUUAACCCUUUUGGAGGCCUAAGUCAAAAGACUGCCUGAAGUUACAUUGUAGAUGCUGAAAUCACUGCACCUUAAAAACAAAAAGAUUAAGCCACACUGCAUUCCUAAUGUUGGAAUUUCUGGACUGUGCAUCUGUUUAGGCACGUGGAGAAAGACAAGACUGAGAUCAUGUAAGUCAUGAAACUGAGGGUGAAUAAUCCAUACUUUGUUCUUUCACCAUUUUUUCAAUUUAUACCCAGAUGCAAGUAAUAAACCAAAACGAAGAAAAAAC